CUGCACAUAGCCUCCCGAGCUCAUCUGAACUUUUUCACAUGAAGUUAGCAGCCCAAAAGACCGUGCUAUAUGUUACACCGCUAAGUGUUGCAGCUUACUUAGCCCUUUUGUACCUUCUAUGCAUGGCUUAUCUGUGUCAAAUCAACAGCUGAAUCC
Non-coding RNA from Capsicum annuum, 156 nucleotides. The record is from Rfam. NCBI's taxonomy places the organism in Eukaryota, Viridiplantae, Streptophyta, Magnoliopsida, Solanales, Solanaceae.